Molecule: RNase P RNA, 338 nt
Filed under: Methanofollis tationis
Lineage: Archaea; Methanobacteriati; Methanobacteriota; Methanomicrobia; Methanomicrobiales; Methanomicrobiaceae
Description: RNase P RNA component
Rfam family: Archaeal RNase P
About the family: Ribonuclease P (RNase P) is a ubiquitous endoribonuclease, found in archaea, bacteria and eukarya as well as chloroplasts and mitochondria. Its best characterised activity is the generation of mature 5'-ends of tRNAs by cleaving the 5'-leader elements of precursor-tRNAs. Cellular RNase Ps are ribonucleoproteins.
Source: RNAcentral
GAGAGGGAGAGUGCGGCCGACGGUGGCCUUCGGGCUGCUGAGGAAAGUCCCCCCACCGACCAGGUACGCAGCCGCAUGCAAGUGCGGGUGGCGAGAGUCACGGCAAUGACACAGAAACGACACGCCCCGCCGUCAGUGAUGAAACGGCCGAGCCUUCGGGCGAGAAGCGCACAUAGGUUGCGCGAGUUAACCCGUUGAACGUAGCGGCGGGAACCGAUGAAACGGUGAAUCCCUGCGGGUGCAAGCCAAGAACAGGGCAUAAGGGCGCCUGGGCCUGUCCGGGUAUGGCGCGUAGCUGAAUGCCGCACAGAACAGAAGGGGGCUUACUCCUCCGACUC